UCACGAAGUGGUGAUGACGCAACAGAAGAACCCGCUUCAACAUUGUAUGUGACGUCACAAAGGAUCCGACACGGCCGUAGAAACCACGGGUUAAAAAGGAGAAAGAGAAAAAAAGACGAGAAAAAAAGCGCAAGACGAAGAACAAAGACGAAGACGCCAAUAUAAGGAUGCCGGUUUGAGGUGUUUGUAGGCUAAGUGUGUAUAGGUUUAUCAUAAGUGUGUAUAGGCCUAAUAUAGGUGUGUACGCGCGAAGAAAGAGGAUCAGAGACGCCGAUAAAGGAUGUCGGUUUCAGGUGGUUUAGGCUUAGUGUUUAAGUAUGAGUGUGUUUGUGUGUGUUUGUGUUAGCUGGUGCACUCCUACAGUGUUGCCAGCUAUUUUUUUUGCUGGACCUAAUGUUGCCAGCUAUUCUUCCAGGCACUUUUUAGUACUUCUACAUGUCUUUGAAACAAAUGCAAAGGAAUUGUUGCAACAAUCUUACUUGAUAAAGAUUAGCAUCUACUGUAGUGUUCAUUCCUUCCGAGUGUUUUGUCUGUCGGGACUUAAAUCUUACAGCGGUUUUGUAUUGUCUCGGUUUGCUUUGCGAGAACUCUUGUCUUGGUACU
Molecule: non-coding RNA, 603 nt
Organism: Ciona intestinalis (vase tunicate)
Lineage: Eukaryota; Metazoa; Chordata; Ascidiacea; Phlebobranchia; Cionidae
Source: RefSeq, a predicted model, not a curated record